This 422-nucleotide ribosomal RNA is filed under the name uncultured Pedobacter sp. RNAcentral's name for it is "bacterial SSU rRNA". It matches the Rfam family "Bacterial small subunit ribosomal RNA", at positions 355 to 774 of the family's 1533-position model. The record is from RNAcentral. Lineage: Bacteria; Pseudomonadati; Bacteroidota; Sphingobacteriia; Sphingobacteriales; Sphingobacteriaceae.
UAAGGAAUAUUGGUCAAUGGAGGCAACUCUGAACCAGCCAUGCCGCGUGCAGGAAGACAGCCCUCUGGGUCGUAAACUGCUUUUACUCGGGAAUAAACCUAUCUACGUGUAGAUAGCUGAAUGUACCGAAGGAAUAAGGAUCGGCUAACUCCGUGCCAGCAGCCGCGGUAAUACGGAGGAUCCAAGCGUUAUCCGGAUUUAUUGGGUUUAAAGGGUGCGUAGGCGGCCUGUUAAGUCAGGGGUGAAAGACGGUAGCUCAACUAUCGCAGUGCCCUUGAUACUGAUGGGCUUGAAUAAACUAGAAGUAGGCGGAAUGUGACAAGUAGCGGUGAAAUGCAUAGAUAUGUCACAGAACACCGAUUGCGAAGGCAGCUUACUAUGGUUUCAUUGACGCUGAGGCACGAAAGCGUGGGGAUCAAACA